Molecule: ribosomal RNA, 291 nt
Filed under: Escherichia coli
Lineage: Bacteria; Pseudomonadati; Pseudomonadota; Gammaproteobacteria; Enterobacterales; Enterobacteriaceae
Description: partial 16S ribosomal RNA
Rfam family: Bacterial small subunit ribosomal RNA
Source: RNAcentral
UUAAAUUGAAGAGUUUGAUCAUGGCUCAGAUUGAACGCUGGCGGCAGGCCUAACACAUGCAAGUCGAACGGUAACAGGAAACAGCUUGCUGUUUCGCUGACGAGUGGCGGACGGGUGAGUAAUGUCUGGGAAACUGCCUGAUGGAGGGGGAUAACUACUGGAAACGGUAGCUAAUACCGCAUAACGUCGCAAGACCAAAGAGGGGGACCUUCGGGCCUCUUGCCAUCGGAUGUGCCCAGAUGGGAUUAGCUAGUAGGUGGGGUAACGGCUCACCUAGGCGACGAUCCCUAG